RNAcentral lists this ribosomal RNA (483 nucleotides) under uncultured bacterium. Its description in RNAcentral is "partial 16S ribosomal RNA". It matches the Rfam family "Bacterial small subunit ribosomal RNA", at positions 28 to 523 of the family's 1533-position model. The record is from RNAcentral.
GAUGAACGCUGGCGGCGUGCCUAAUACAUGCAAGUCGAGCGAACCACUUCGGUGGUGAGCGGCGAACGGGUGAGUAACACGUAGGUGAUCUGCCCAUCAGACGGGGACAACGAUUGGAAACGAUCGCUAAUACCGGAUAGGACGAAAGUUUAAAGGUGCUUCUGGCACCGCUGAUGGAUGAGCCUGCGGCGCAUUAGCUAGUUGGUAGGGUAAAGGCCUACCACGGCGACGAUGCGUAGCCGACCUGAGAGGGUGAACGGCCACACUGGGACAGGGACCAGGCCCAGACGCCAACGGGGGGCAGCAGUAGGGAAUCUUCGGAAAUGGGCGAAAGCCUGACCGAGCAACGCCGCGUGAAUGAUGAAGGCCUUCGGGUUGUAAAAUUCUGUUAUAAGGGAAGAACGACUUUAGUAGGAAAUGGCUAGAGUGUGACGGUACCUUAUGAGAAAGCCACGGCUAACUACGUGCCAGCCGCCGCGGUAA